UCGUGGGUCCAACUUAUCGAAUGUUCCAUU
This 30-nucleotide non-coding RNA is filed under the name Rattus norvegicus (Norway rat). Lineage: Eukaryota; Metazoa; Chordata; Mammalia; Rodentia; Muridae. The record is from RNAcentral.